RNAcentral lists this ribosomal RNA (301 nucleotides) under uncultured bacterium. Its description in RNAcentral is "partial 16S ribosomal RNA". It matches the Rfam family "Bacterial small subunit ribosomal RNA", at positions 509 to 807 of the family's 1533-position model. The record is from RNAcentral.
CAGCCGCCGCGGUAAUACGUAGGUGGCAAGCGUUGUCCGGAAUUAUUGGGCGUAAAGGGCUCGCAGGCGGUUUCUUAAGUCUGAUGUGAAAGCCCCCGGCUCAACCGGGGAGGGUCAUUGGAAACUGGGAAACUUGAGUGCAGAAGAGGAGAGUGGAAUUCCACGUGUAGCGGUGAAAUGCGUAGAGAUGUGGAGGAACACCAGUGGCGAAGGCAACUCUCUGGUCUGUAACUGACGCUGAGGAGCGAAAGCGUGGGGAGCGAACAGGAUUAGAUACCCCUGUAGUCCCUGUCUCUUAUAC